Molecule: ribosomal RNA, 460 nt
Filed under: uncultured bacterium
Lineage: Bacteria
Description: partial 16S ribosomal RNA
Rfam family: Bacterial small subunit ribosomal RNA
Source: RNAcentral
CCUACGGGAGGCAGCAGUGAGGAAUAUUGCGCAAUGGACGGAAGUCUGAAGCAGCGAUGCCGCGUGCGGGAAGACGGCCCUAGGAGUGGUAAACUGCUUUUGUACAAGGGAAAAGCUGAAUACGUGUAUACAGCUGAAAGUACGGUACGAAUAAGGAUCGGAUAACCCCGUGCCAGCAGCCGCGGUAAUACGGAGGAUACAAGCGUUAUCCGGAUUGAUUGGGUUUAAAGGGUGCGUAGGCGGAUUGAUAAGUUAGAGGUGAAAUGUCCGAGCUUAACUCGGGAACUGCCUCUAAUACUGUUGAUCUAGAGAGUAGAUGCGGUAGGCGGAAUGUAUGGUGUAGCGGUGAAAUGCUUAGAGAUCUUGCAGAACAUCGAUUGCGAAGGCAGCUUACUGACCUAUAUCUGACGUUGAGGCACGAAAGCGUGGGGAGCAAACAGGAUUAGAUACCCCUGUAGUC